This 1471-nucleotide ribosomal RNA is filed under the name uncultured bacterium. RNAcentral's name for it is "bacterial SSU rRNA". It matches the Rfam family "Bacterial small subunit ribosomal RNA". The record is from RNAcentral.
AGAGUUUGAUCCUGGCUCAGGACGAACGUUGGCGGCGUGCUUAACACAUGCAAGUCGAGCGGUUGAGAGGUGGGAGUUGAGAAGUUAGAAGUGGGAGAAAGGUUGAGAGGUGGGAGUUGAGAAGUUAGAAGUGGGAGAAAGUUCUCACCUCUAACCUCUCACAUCUCACCUCUCAAUAGCGGCGGACGGGUGAGUAACGCGUGGAUAAUCUGCCUGUAAGACAGGGAUAACGCCGGGAAACCGGUGCUAAUACCCGAUAACCUCUUUGAAUCGCAUGGUUUGACCUCUUUACAAUGCUACCACUUACAGAUGAAUCCGCGUCCCAUUAGCCAGUUGGUGGGGUAAUGGCCUACCAAAGCGACGAUGGGUAGCCGGCCUGAGAGGGUGACCGGCCACACUGGGACUGAGACACGGCCCAGACUCCUACGGGAGGCAGCAGUGGGGAAUCUUCCGCAAUGGACGAAAGUCUGACGGAGCAACGCCGCGUGUAUGAUGAAGGUCUUCGGAUUGUAAAGUACUGUCUUUGGGGAAGAAUGAUGUGCUUGAAAAUAUUGAGUGCAUAUCGGCUAACUACGUGCCAGCAGCCGCGGUAAUACGUAGGGGGCAAGCGUUAUCCGGAAUUAUUGGGCGUAAAGAGUGCGUAGGUGGAUUUACAAGCCUUUGGUGAAAGUUCGGGGCUCAACUCGGAGACUGCUCCUGAAACUGGUAGACUUGAGUGCAAGAGAGGGAAGUGGAAUUCCUAGUGUAGCGGUGAAAUGCGUAGAUAUUAGGAGGAACACCAGUGGCGAAGGCGACUUCCUGGCCUGUAACUGACACUGAGGCGCGAAAGCGUGGGGAUCAAACAGGAUUAGAUACCCUGGUAGUCCACGCCGUAAACGAUGAGUGCUAGGUGUCGGGGGUAUCGACCCCCUCGGUGCCACAGCUAACGCAAUAAGCACUCCGCCUGGGGAGUACGGUCGCAAGACUGAAACUCAAAGGAAUUGACGGGGGCCCGCACAAGCGGUGGAGUAUGUGGUUUAAUUCGACGCAACGCGAAGAACCUUACCAAGGCUUGACAUCCUGUGACAGCUAUAGAAAUAUAGUCUUCUUAGUUUAACAUCUAUACGACAGGUGGUGCAUGGUUGUCGUCAGCUCGUGCCGUGAGAUGUUGGGUUAAGUCCCGCAACGAGCGCAACCCCUGUAUUUAGUUGCUAACAAGUAAGGUUGAGCACUCUAGAUAGACUGCCGGUGAUAAACCGGAGGAAGGUGGGGAUGACGUCAAAUCAUCAUGCCCCUUAUGUUCUGGGCUACACACGUGCUACAAUGGCCGGUACAGACGGAAGCGAAGCCGCGAGGUGAAGCAAAACCCGAGAAAGCUGGUCUCAGUUCGGAUUGCAGGCUGCAACUCGCCUGCAUGAAGUCGGAAUCGCUAGUAAUCGCAGGUCAGCAUACUGCGGUGAAUACGUUCCCGGGCCUUGUACACACCGCCCGU